AUGGAAGGGAUCCUGCAGAAGCAUAUGGCGGAUGCGAAAGAGGGGUCCCUUCCUCUUCCUAUGAGCAAGAGGAAGCGGAAGGAGGCUGUGAUGGAUGCGGAUGACAAGAAGAAAGAGGAAGAAAAGGAUAAGAAGGGUAAGAAGGAAGAAGAAGAAGAAGAAGAAGAAGAAGAAGAAGAAGAAGAAGAAGAGAAUCAAAGGCAGCAGGAGGGAGGUGGGAUUCUGACAUGCAAGCUUUUCUCUGAUCUCUACAUGUCCGACCUCACUGCCAAGGCCAUCAGAGAGAUGAACUACACCCACCUCACACAGAUUCAAGCUAGAUCAAUACCGCACCUCAUGGUAGGACAUGAUGUGCUGGGUUCAGCCAGGACUGGCUCGGGGAAGACGCUUGCUUUCCUUAUACCCGCCAUCGAACUGCUACACAACGCGCACUACACCCCUAGGAACGGGACUGGAGUUAUUAUAGUUUGCCCAACAAGGGAGCUUGCUAUCCAGACACACAAUGUUGCCAAGGAAUUAAUCAAGUAUCACUCACAAACUAUCGGAUAUGUAAUUGGUGGCACUAACAUGAAAAGCGAGGCCAACCAACUUGUGAAAGGGAUCAAUCUGUUAGUUGCAACGCCGGGCAGGCUUCUGGACCAUUUGAGAAGUACCAGUAAUUUCAACUACAAGAGGCUACAGUGCCUCAUAAUCGAUGAAGCUGACCGCAUACUUGAGCAAAAUUUUGAGGAUGACAUGAAACAAAUAUUUCGACGUCUCCCUCGGGAUAGACAAACUGUUCUCUUUUCUGCCACACAGACUCAAAAGGUUGAAGAUUUUGCAAAAUUUACGUUUGGGGAAAAUGAAGAAAGACAACGAAAACUUGUUUAUGUUGGAGUUGAUGAUUCUGAAUUAAAGCCUACCGUGGAGGGGUUGCAGCAGGGCUACUGUGUCAUUCCUAGCGAGAAAAGGUUUCUGGUUCUGUAUGCUUUCCUAAAAAGGAUGCAGACGAAGCAGGAUGUGAAGGUCAUGGUCUUCUUUUCAUCAUGUAGCUCAGUCAAAUUCCAUGCAGAAUUUCUAAAUUUCCUUGGGAUAGAGUGUUAUGAUAUCCACGGGCAACUAAAGCAGCAGAAACGCACUAGUACAUUCUUCCAAUUUUCCAAGAUGAAUAAGGGCAUCUUAUUAUGCACUAACGUGGCAGCACGUGGGCUUGAUAUUCCUAAUGUGGACUAUAUUGUGCAGUAUGAUCCUCCAGAUGACCCAAAGGACUACAUUCAUAGAGUUGGUCGUACUGCCCGAGGUGAUAAAGGCAAAGGACGCGCGUUAUUGUUCUUACUACCAGAAGAAAUGAAGUUGCUUAUUUACCUACAGGUGUCCAAAAUUUCUCUGACUGAAUAUGCUUUCAGUGAAAAGCAUGUGCCAAAAACACAAUCGCUACUUGAGAGUAUUGUUGGUGGGAAUUACUUUUUAAACCAGUCAGCGAAGGAAGCCUACAGGUCCUACCUUUUGGCAUACAGCUCACACUCCAUGAAGGACAUUUUUGAUGUCCAUCAACUUGAUCUCAAGAAAGUUGCGGCAUCUUUCUGUUUCAAUAACCCUCCUAAAGUGAAUCUGGACUUGGAGAGUAGUGCGUCGAGACACCGAAAGAUGAGGAAGGUGGAGGGUGGAAAGAGGCACGGAAUUACCCCUUCAAACCCCUAUGGAAGGAGAGGCGCUCAUGAUGGCGUGCAGUUUGCAAGAUAA
This 1722-nucleotide ribosomal RNA is filed under the name Triticum aestivum (bread wheat). RNAcentral's name for it is "partial small subunit ribosomal RNA". Lineage: Eukaryota; Viridiplantae; Streptophyta; Magnoliopsida; Poales; Poaceae. The record is from RNAcentral.